RNAcentral lists this ribosomal RNA (492 nucleotides) under uncultured bacterium. Its description in RNAcentral is "partial 16S ribosomal RNA". It matches the Rfam family "Bacterial small subunit ribosomal RNA", at positions 29 to 507 of the family's 1533-position model. The record is from RNAcentral.
AGUGAACGCUGGCGGUAGGCCUAACACAUGCAAGUCGAACGGCAGCACAGUAAGAGCUUGCUCUUACGGGUGGCGAGUGGCGGACGGGUGAGGAAUACAUCGGAAUCUACUUUUUCGUGGGGGAUAACGUAGGGAAACUUACGCUAAUACCGCAUACGACCUACGGGUGAAAGCAGGGGAUCUUCGGACCUUGCGCGAUUGAAUGAGCCGCUGUCGGAUUAGCUAGUUGGCGGGGUAAAGGCCCACCAAGGCGACGAUCCGUAGCUGGUCUGAGAGGAUGAUCGGCCACACUGGAACUGAGACACGGUCCAGACUCCUACGGGAGGCAGCAGUGGGGAAUAUUGGACAAUGGGCGCAAGCCUGAUCCAGCCAGACCGCGUGGGUGAAGGAGGCCUUCGGGUUGUAAAGCCCUUUUGUUGGGAAAGAAAAGCAGCAGGUUAAUACCCCGCUGUUCUGACGGUACCCAAAGAAUAAGCACCGGCUAACUUCGUG